AGAGUUUGAUCAUGGCUCAGGACGAACGCUGGCGGCGUGCUUAACACAUGCAAGUCAAGGGGGCCCGCAAGGGCAACCGGCGAACGGGUGCGUAACACGUGAGCGACCUACCUUUCGGCGGGGGAUAGCCGGCCCAACGGCCGGGUAAUACCGCAUACGCUCUUCUGGGGGCAUCCCUGGGGGAGGAAACUUUCGAGACCGAGAGAGGGGCUCGCGGCCUAUCAGCUAGUUGGCGGGGUAACGGCCCACCAAGGCGGUGACGGGUAGCUGGUCUGAGAGGAUGGCCAGCCACAUUGGGACUGAGAGACGGCCCAGACUCCUACGGGAGGCAGCAGUGGGGAAUCUUGCGCAAUGGCCGAAAGGCUGACGCAGCGACGCCGCGUGGGGGAGGAAGGGCUUCGGCUCGUAAACCCCUGUUGCCCGGGGCGAACAUCCCUUUUCGAGGGGACUGACGGUACCGGGUGAGGAAGCACCGGCUAACUCCGUGCCAGCAGCCGCGGUAAUACGGAGGGUGCGAGCGUUGUCCGGAAUCACUGGGCGUAAAGGGCGCGUAGGUGGCCGAGCAAGGUCGCGGUGAAAGCCCGGGGCUCAACCCCGGGUCGGCCGUGGCAACUACUUGGCUGGAGCACUGUAGGGGCGGGUGGAAUUCCGGGUGUAGCGGUGGAAUGCGCAGAUAUCAGGAGGAACACCGAUGGCGAAGGCAGAUCUCUGGGCCGUAACUCACGCUGAGGAGCGAAAGGGUGGGGAGCAAACAGGCUUAGAUACCCUGGUAGUCCACCCCGUAAACGUUGGGAACUAGUUGUGGGGUCCAUUCCACGGAUUCCGUGACGCAGCUAACGCAUUAAGUUCCCCGCCUGGGGAGUACGGCCGCAAGGCUAAAACUCAAAGGAAUUGAC
Molecule: ribosomal RNA, 896 nt
Filed under: uncultured bacterium
Lineage: Bacteria
Description: bacterial SSU rRNA
Rfam family: Bacterial small subunit ribosomal RNA
Source: RNAcentral